UAUUGUGAUUGAAUUAGAAUUUUUAACUUUAAAGUACAAGACUAAAUCUCGAAUUAUGGAUAAUUACAGGGACUAAAAGCACAUAUAAACCUUUUUUUAUUGGGUUCGAAAUUGUAUUAGAAACCUUUGUCUCUCUCAAUGAUAAAAGAAAAAAAAAAGAGAAAGGGUUCAAGCUUUUCCAGUUUAGCUUGAAUUAACCAAAACUCCCAAAUCUUGGAAAUUGGGAAAAGAUGGCAGCACCAACGCUGGAGAUGGAGCCAGUUGAGCCACAAUCAUUGAAGAAGCUAAGCCUUAAAUCCCUAAAGCGCACUCUCGAUCUCUUUAGCCCUAUCCAUGGCCAAUUUGCUGCUCCUAACCCCGAAAGCAAAAAAAUUCGCAUGAGCCACAAGGUUAGUUCGAUUUGGUUUGGUUUCCUAAUCCUAUCUAUGGUAAGUUAUAAGCUUUACAAUUAAUGCUCUAUUAGUUUACUGAGGAAGAUUAGGCAAGUUUAUCAGUGAGAAGUCUUAAGAUUUGACAUAGCCAUUCAAGAACUAGUCAACCAGAGAUUCAAUAAAGACCCAUUCUGCCAUUCAAGAAAUUGGAAAAAAAACGAAAGAGAAAUUAGAAGAAAGCAAAACUGGCCCUGGGUCUGGGUAUUGGUGUGGUGGUCCGACUCCGGCGGAAGAGAAAUGGACAGCAAAAGCCAAAAAGGUGUGAAAAUGGUGGGUUUUCCAGUUUCCCGAUUGGCCGAUUCGACUGAGAUUGAGAAUAUUAGGGAUUUAGGGCUAGGGGUGUUAAGUGAAAAUGUGAAAGUCGGCACUUUCAGCCAAUAACCAAUUAACCAUAAACAUAAAUUGGGCUUGGGUAUUUAGGGCUAGAGGUUAUUUGCUGCUGCUGAGAAUAGAGAAAAAUUCGGUGCUGAGCCUGAGAAUAAAUUCGGCCGGUUUAAUUUGACCUGGUUGAGGCCCUACCCUGCAAAA
Gossypium raimondii (Peruvian cotton) is the source of this 959-nucleotide RNA transcript. RefSeq lists it as uncharacterized. Lineage: Eukaryota; Viridiplantae; Streptophyta; Magnoliopsida; Malvales; Malvaceae. The record is from RefSeq and is a predicted model, not a curated record. The transcript is spliced from 2 exons.